AUGGGGGUGGAGGCGACGCAGAUGGGCGCGGAACCGGCGGCGCACGGGCGGCUGCUGUGGGCGACCGGCGGCGGGCGGAGGUACAUCAGCUACGACGCGCUAGGGGACGUUGUGUUGUGCUCCCGGCCAGGGGUGCCCUACUACAACUGCCGCAUCAGCACCACCGCCAACCCCUACACCCGCGGCUGCGAGUCCAUCACCCACUGUCGCGAGGACGACCCUUCCUAG
Molecule: ribosomal RNA, 228 nt
Filed under: Triticum aestivum (bread wheat)
Lineage: Eukaryota; Viridiplantae; Streptophyta; Magnoliopsida; Poales; Poaceae
Description: partial small subunit ribosomal RNA
Source: RNAcentral